GACGAACGCUGGCGGCGUGCUUAACACAUGCAAGUCGAACGGAAAGGCCCCUUUGGGGGUACUCGAGUGGCGAACGGGUGAGUAACACGUGAGUAACCUGCCCUUGACUUCGGGAUAACUUCAGGAAACUGGGGCUAAUACCGGAUAGGAAUCCGUGCUGCAUGGUGGGGGUUGGAAAGCUUCGGCGGUUUGGGAUGGACUCGCGGCUUAUCAGCUUGUUGGUGGGGUAGUGGCUUACCAAGGCUUUGACGGGUAGCCGGCCUGAGAGGGCGACCGGCCACAUUGGGACUGAGAUACGGCCCAGACUCCUACGGGAGGCAGCAGUGGGGAAUAUUGCACAAUGGGCGGAAGCCUGAUGCAGCAACGCCGCGUGCGGGAUGACGGCCUUCGGGUUGUAAACCGCUUUCAGCAGGGGCGAAGCUUGUGGUGACGGUACCUGCAGAAGAAGCACCGGCUAACUACGUG
This 465-nucleotide ribosomal RNA is filed under the name uncultured bacterium. RNAcentral's name for it is "partial 16S ribosomal RNA". It matches the Rfam family "Bacterial small subunit ribosomal RNA", at positions 28 to 507 of the family's 1533-position model. The record is from RNAcentral.